AGUGGCGAACGGGUGAGUAUCACGUGAGCAACCUGCCCUUGACUUCGGGAUAAGCCCGGGAAACUGGGUCUAAUACCGGAUAUGACCAUCGCCCGCAUGGGCGGUGGUGGAAAGCUUUAUGCGGUCUUGGAUGGGCUCGCGGCCUAUCAGCUAGACGGUGAGGUAGUGGCUCACCGUGGCUUUGACGGGUAGCCGGCCUGAGAGGGUGACCGGCCACACUGGGACUGAGACACGGCCCAGACUCCUACGGGAGGCAGCAGUGGGGAAUAUUGCACAAUGGGCGAAAGCCUGAUGCAGCGACGCCGCGUGCGGGAUGACGGCCUUCGGGUUGUAAACCGCUUUCAGCAGGGAAGAAGCUUUUUGUGACGGUACCUGCAGAAGAAGCGCCGGCUAACUACGUGCCAGCAGCCGCGGUAAUACGUAGGGCGCGAGCGUUAUCCGGAAUUAUUGGGCGUAAAGAGCUCGUAGGCGGUUUGCCGCGUCUGCCGUGAAAAAUCCGGGCUUAACCCGGAUCGUGCGGUGGGUACGGGCAGACUAGAGUGCAGUAGGGGAGACCGGAAUUCCUGGUGUAGCGGUGAAAUGCGCAGAUAUCAGGAGGAACACCGAUGGCGAAGGCAGGUCUCUGGGCUGUUACUGACGCUGAGGAGCGAAAGCAUGGGGAGCGAACAGGAUUAGAUACCCUGGUAGUCCAUGCCGUAAACGUUGGGCACUAGGUGUGGGGAACAUUCCACGUUUUCCGCGCCGUAGCUA
Molecule: ribosomal RNA, 750 nt
Filed under: Nesterenkonia pannonica
Lineage: Bacteria; Bacillati; Actinomycetota; Actinomycetes; Micrococcales; Micrococcaceae
Description: bacterial SSU rRNA
Rfam family: Bacterial small subunit ribosomal RNA
Source: RNAcentral